RNAcentral lists this unclassified non-coding RNA (330 nucleotides) under soil metagenome. RNAcentral's name for it is "partial contains 5.8S ribosomal RNA, internal transcribed spacer 2, and large subunit ribosomal RNA". The stretch from base 1 to 120 matches the Rfam family "5.8S ribosomal RNA", at positions 35 to 154 of the family's 154-position model. The record is from RNAcentral.
GAUGAAGAACGUAGUGAAAUGCGAUAAGUGAUGUGAAUUGCAGAAUUCAGUGAAUCAUCGAAUCUUUGAACGCACAUUGCGCCCUCUGGUAUUCCGGGGGGCAUGCCUGUUCGAGCGUCAUUAUAACCACUCAAGCUCUCGCUUGGUAUUGGGGUUCGCGGUUUCGCGGCCCCUAAAAUCAGUGGCGGUGCCUGUCGGCUCUACGCGUAGUAAUACUCCUCGCGAUUGAGUCCGGUAGGUCUACUUGCCAGCAACCCCUAAUUUUUUUAAGGUUGACCUCGGAUCAGGUAGGGAUACCCGCUGAACUUAAGCAUAUCAAUAAGCGGAGGA